This 253-nucleotide ribosomal RNA is filed under the name uncultured bacterium. RNAcentral's name for it is "partial 16S ribosomal RNA". It matches the Rfam family "Bacterial small subunit ribosomal RNA", at positions 524 to 776 of the family's 1533-position model. The record is from RNAcentral.
GACGAACCGUACGAACGUUAUUCGGAAUCACUGGGCUUAAAGGGUGCGUCGGCGGCGGCGCAAGUUGGGUGUGAAAUCCCUCGGCUCAACCGAGGAAUUGCGCUCAAAACUGCGUCGCUUGAGGAGGAUAGAGGUGAGUGGAACUUAGGGUGGAGCGGUGAAAUGCGUUGAUAUCCUAAGGAACACCAGUGGCGAAAGCGACUCACUGGGUCUUCUCUGACGCUGAGGCACGAAAGCUAGGGUAGCGUACGGG